UCUCCGUUGGUGAACCAGCGGAGGGAUCAUUACUGGAAUCGCAAGAUCCCAAAACCCCUGUGAACCUACCGACACGUUGCCUCGGCGGGUGCCCCGCCCCGCGCCGGGCGCUGAGCCCGCCGGCGGCCCCCUACUCUUGUCUCUGCAGCGUGGCAUCUCACAGUGCCAGAAAACAAGUAAAAACUUUCAACAACGGAUCUCUUGGCUCUA
Molecule: unclassified non-coding RNA, 210 nt
Filed under: plant metagenome
Description: partial contains small subunit ribosomal RNA, internal transcribed spacer 1, and 5.8S ribosomal RNA
Source: RNAcentral